RNAcentral lists this ribosomal RNA (253 nucleotides) under uncultured bacterium. RNAcentral describes it as "partial 16S ribosomal RNA". It matches the Rfam family "Bacterial small subunit ribosomal RNA", at positions 524 to 776 of the family's 1533-position model. The record is from RNAcentral.
UACAGAGGGUGCGAGCGUUAAUCGGAAUUACUGGGCGUAAAGCGCGCGUAGGCGGCUUUGCAAGUCGGGUGUGAAAUCCCCAGGCUUAAUCUGGGAACUGCAUUCGAGACUGCAUUGCUAGAGUAUGGGAGAGGGAAGUGGAAUUUCAGGUGUAGCGGUGAAAUGCGUAGAUAUCUGAAGGAACAUCAGUGGCGAAAGCGACUUCCUGGACCAAUACUGACGCUCAUGUGCGAAAGCGUGGGGAGCAAACAGG